AGGAUCCCAGUAUGGAGUUUUUCUGCACACAACCCAAGAUCUCUGCUUCUCAUAAAACCCACCAGCCAAGUAUUGACUGAUUCUGUCAGAGGGUUCCUUCUACUCAGGAACAUCAGAAAAGCAUUCAUGAGAGAUCUGAGACUUGUAUGCUUCAGGUGAUGACCAUUUGUCAAAUAAUAGCAAGAAUGUCUUGGAUGAUCUUGGUUAUUUCCAUCCACCAUGAGGAUGCAAAGGAACUACCUAUGACAUUUCCUCUUACUUAUAUUGCAAACGCUGCUGAGAAUAUCACCCUUUUUCUGUCCUGCAA
RNAcentral lists this long non-coding RNA (307 nucleotides) under Pogona vitticeps (central bearded dragon). RNAcentral describes it as "lncRNA (ENSPVIG00000018088.1)". The record is from RNAcentral. Lineage: Eukaryota; Metazoa; Chordata; Lepidosauria; Squamata; Agamidae.